Long non-coding RNA from Mustela erminea (ermine), 1841 nucleotides. RefSeq lists it as uncharacterized. NCBI's taxonomy places the organism in Eukaryota, Metazoa, Chordata, Mammalia, Carnivora, Mustelidae. The transcript has 2 exons. The record is from RefSeq and is a predicted model, not a curated record.
CAACUGACACCGUCCCUGUGAGAUUGAGAACAGACCAAUGAGAUCCAAGGCACCUCUGGAUCAGACUCAGAGAAACCCAACAACAAGGAUGCAGCCAUGAAUAGACAGCUACAACAUCUUCCAUGAUGGAAACAGUGGUUGUUUUUGUCCACCACUUCAUCUCUAGUAAACUCAGCAGAGUGCCUGACAUGAAGAAGCUCAAAUGUAUUCCAAGAAUGGAAGAAGCUGUAAAACACAAUGAGAACACAUUGAGUUCAAGUUUAAAACUCGUCUUCGGGGCUUUAUCCCAUAAGCUUCAUUUCCUCUGCUUUUAGUGCUACCUGGAAGGGCACCUCUCCUAGAACUUUGUGUCUCCUUGAUUUUCUCCUGAUUCAGAAAUCAAGAGAAAACAGUGUUUCUUUUUUCCUGACUGUCCAUUACUGCCCAAGAGAAGGACAAUCUGGCCAAGAGCCGCGAAAAUUCAAGCCGAACAAUCCGACCUUUCAGGGGGAUCCAGCGAACACAGCACUUACCAAUGAAUGAACCUGUUUCUGGUGACGGAGAACAACUUGCCACUUUCCAUAUAGUAGAAGCCUCCCGCGCUCUCACCGUAUUUCACCGCUCCAGCCAAGGCAUUUGCAGUCCCUGCAAAAGGAGAGUGGUCAGCCUGCAUAUCUGGUUCUCUCGGAAUGACCGAGACUGAGGGCGCUGAGAAAGCAGAGGGUGACGACUGACAAUCCACACGAAGAGAAGGGGAAGAAGGCAGGACGAAGUAGGACACUACGGAAGCUAUGAUCCCAAGGCUACAGGCAUGUGGACUAAAGGAGUAUGAACCCGGGGUCAGAGAUUUAAGGACCCAUGAGAGGAGCCCGAGGGGAAGGAUCGGAUCGUGUCCUCCUUAGCUGCUUUCGUACCGAUGCCGGAAACUGUGAAUUCCCGAAAGUGUCUCGGCCUCUCGCGCUCAGCACCGCUGAGCUCCUCGAAGCUCCGUUCCAGGGCUCCCGCCGCCGCCAUCUUCCCGCCGCCGCCGCAGGGCCCGACGGGACGCGAGCUAGGCCGGGCGGCCAUCGUCACUUCCGGGGGCGGGCGGAUGGAGUUAUGAACUGGUGAGGAAGCCUGCGGGGAAGGAGGGUACGAUUGACUCUUCGUUGCGAGGCUUCCAGUCGGUUGGUUGGAGAACGAGAGUGGACAGGAAGGAAGCCAGAAGACAAAGGGGCAAAAGGGAACCGACUCUGCUUGCGGGAACUUUAGCCUGGCCGGCCGGCUGGGACAUCCCCUCAGGGGGCGGUACCCUUUUCCCGGCGUCCUCCGGGCAGGGGGCGGGGCCAGGUUUGUUUCCAUUUUGAAAACCCGGACGCGGGCGGCGGGGUUGAGCUUCCCCGGAGGGGCGAGGUCCGGAGAGUCCGGGUGGCCGAGCGCCCUCUACCGGGUUCCGAGGUCGCGGUCACCCUUCUCUGCGUCGGGGUGGCGGUCAGUACAUUGGCUGGUCUCCUUUUUGGCCUUCAGCGGCACGUGGGAUGGGGAGAGGGCGAGUACUGGGGAGAGGAGAUCUUUUGGGUUGGAAUCUUUUAGAGAGUCUGAAUUCGUGCAUUCUGGUGUUCUGAAACGCAAUGCGUUCAGCAAAACGUUGAUGCAACACGCUGUGGUUAUCUAAAUGCUCAAAGGAAUUUGCCUUUCAUCCCGUCCCUGAUCUGGAUGUCUGUAAGAUAUUGUGCCUUUACCGGUAUCUAGGGCUCAGCAGAUGCUCAGUACUGGGAAAAAUGCUGAUUUGCAUGGGAAAAGGAUUUUUCCUCCAUAGUCAACAUUUGUUAAGCAGUUCUGUUAUUCUUGUUAUUACCAGUGAAUGCAACCCUUCUUUAUCA